Molecule: RNA transcript, 2196 nt
Organism: Abrus precatorius (Indian licorice)
Lineage: Eukaryota; Viridiplantae; Streptophyta; Magnoliopsida; Fabales; Fabaceae
Gene name: nucleobase-ascorbate transporter 6
Exons: 14
Source: RefSeq, a predicted model, not a curated record
UAGAAAAAAUACGGAGAAUCUGAAGGUCAUUUUGUGUUUGCUUUUACCCUUUGGAGUUUGCUUUACUUCCCACUCUACAGUCUACACACACUGCCCCAUAACACCUCCACCGUCUGGGUUUCGUUUUCUCUCUUAUUUUCACUCAAACCUUUUCUUUUUUUAUUUUAUUUUUAUCGUGGUUGGUGUGGGGUACCUGAGAUUUUUGACUUUAAAGUCGCUUGAAUUUUGCUCCCUGAAACAUCGUUAAAAGUUUGUAGGUGAAAGAGAGUUAUGGCAGGAGGUGGGGGAGCUCCAGCGCCUAAGGUAGAUGAGCCACAGCCACAUCCACCAAAAGAUCAGCUUCCCAAUGUUUCUUACUGCAUUACGAGUCCUCCUCCAUGGCCUGAGGCCAUACUUCUUGGUUUUCAACAUUAUCUUGUGAUGCUCGGUACAACUGUGCUAAUUCCCACUGCUCUUGUUCCCCAGAUGGGAGGUGGCAAUGAGGAGAAGGCAAAAGUUAUCCAAACACUGCUCUUCGUGGCUGGAAUUAACACAUUGCUGCAAACUCUGUUUGGAACUCGAUUGCCUGCAGUAAUUGGAGGGUCUUAUACUUAUGUUCCAACAACGAUCUCUAUUAUUCUUGCUGGUCGAUUCAGUGAUGAGCCAGAUCCUAUAGAGAAAUUCAAGAGGAUAAUGCGGGCAACUCAAGGUGCUCUUAUUGUUGCUUCAACUCUUCAAAUAGUGCUAGGAUUUAGUGGCCUUUGGCGUAACGUUGCAAGGUUCUUAAGUCCACUUUCAGCAGUUCCUUUGGUAUCUCUUGUUGGUUUUGGGCUUUACGAAUUAGGCUUUCCUGGUGUUGCUAAAUGUGUAGAGAUUGGACUUCCAGCGCUUAUACUGCUAGUAUUUGUUUCACAGUUUGUACCCCAUGUGCUGCAUGCAGGAAAACAUAUCUUUGGCCGUUUUGCUGUUUUAUUUACAGUUGCAAUUGUAUGGCUGUAUGCUUAUAUACUCACUGUUGGAGGGGCCUACAACCAUGCUGCACCUAAAACACAGGCAACCUGCCGAACUGAUCGUGCUGGUUUAAUAGAUGCUGCCCCAUGGAUUAGGGUUCCAUAUCCUUUUCAAUGGGGAGCACCUUCCUUUGAUGCAGGUGAGGCCUUUGCCAUGAUGAUGGCAUCCUUUGUUGCUCUCGUAGAGUCCAGUGGAGCUUUUAUUGCUGUUUACCGGUAUGCAAGUGCAACGCCACUACCACCAUCUAUUCUUAGUCGAGGUAUUGGGUGGCAGGGAGUUGCCAUUCUGUUAUCAGGAUUGUUUGGAACUGGCAAUGGAUCCUCUGUAUCUGUAGAAAAUGCUGGUCUUUUGGCUUUGACUCGUGUUGGCAGUAGAAGAGUGGUGCAAAUAUCUGCUGGUUUUAUGAUUUUCUUUUCAAUUCUCGGUGAGUCGAAGAUGAAAUGUCUGUAAUUUGAAUAUGUAAUUUGCCCGUAACACUUGUAGGUGCAAAUUUCAAUUCUCAGUGAAAAUGUCUGCAUUUCUUCCUGUAACAAUUGCUAAUUUUUCUUUGUGUGUAGGGAAAUUUGGAGCAGUUUUUGCCUCUAUUCCACCUCCCAUUGUUGCUGCAUUGUACUGCUUGUUCUUUGCUUAUGUUGGAGCGGGAGGUCUAAGUUUUCUUCAAUUCUGCAACCUAAACAGUUUUAGAACAAAGUUUGUUUUGGGUUUCUCUAUCUUCCUUGGCUUGUCUAUACCACAGUACUUCAAUGAGUACACAGCAAUUGAUGGUUAUGGUCCAGUUCACACAGGAGCAAGAUGGUCAAAAGCAUUUGUUGCGGGUUGUUUGGCAUAUUUCCUAGAUAACACACUACAUAAGAAGGAGGGUGCUAUUCGGAAAGAUAGAGGAAAACAUUGGUGGGACAAGUACCGGUCCUUCAAGACUGACACAAGAAGUGAGGAGUUUUAUUCACUGCCUUUCAACCUAAACAAAUAUUUCCCAUCUGUGUAAUUGUGCAGCUGAAGUAAUAUAUAGGUGGUUUCAUCACCCAUAGUCUCUGAAAUGUCGUAAUUUGACUUUUUCUAAUAUGAGAUUGGAUCUUAUUAUAGGUGAUAGUUAUAUCAAGUCCUUUUUUGCUAUAUAGAAUAUUCUGAAACAUUUGUUUUAUUGCUUUUCAUUCUGUAAAUGCUGACCUGGAAAUGGAUCCAUGAUAAUGUUCACUUUUAUAAUCU